GACGAACGCUGGCGGCGUGCUUAACACAUGCAAGUCGAACGGAAAGGCCCUGCUUUUGUGGGGUGCUCGAGUGGCGAAAGGGUGAGUAACACGUGAGUAACCUGCCCUUGACUUUGGGAUAACUUCAGGAAACUGGGGCUAAUACCGGAUAUGAGCUCCUGCUGCAUGGUGGGGGUUGGAAAGUUUCGGCGGUUGGGGAUGGACUCGCGGCUUAUCAGCUUGUUGGUGGGGUAGUGGCUUACCAAGGCUUUGACGGGUAGCCGGCCUGAGAGGGUGACCGGCGACAUUGGGACUGAGAUACGGCCCAGACUCCUACGGGAGGCAGCAGUGGGGAAUAUUGCACAAUGGGCGGAAGCCUGAUGCAGCAACGCCGCGUGCGGGAUGACGGCCUUCGGGUUGUAACCCGCUUUCGCCUGUGACGAAGCGUGAGUGACGGUAAUGGGUAAAGAAGCACCGGCUAACUACGUG
RNAcentral lists this ribosomal RNA (468 nucleotides) under uncultured bacterium. RNAcentral describes it as "partial 16S ribosomal RNA". It matches the Rfam family "Bacterial small subunit ribosomal RNA", at positions 28 to 507 of the family's 1533-position model. The record is from RNAcentral.